This 253-nucleotide ribosomal RNA is filed under the name uncultured bacterium. Its description in RNAcentral is "partial 16S ribosomal RNA". It matches the Rfam family "Bacterial small subunit ribosomal RNA", at positions 524 to 776 of the family's 1533-position model. The record is from RNAcentral.
UACGUAGGGGGCGAGCGUUGUCCGGAAUUAUUGGGCGUAAAGAGCGUGUAGGCUGUUCGGUAAGUCUGCCGUGAAAACCUGAGGCUCAACCUCGGGCGUGCGGUGGAUACUGCCGGGCUAGAGGACGGUAGAGGCGAGUGGAAUUCCCGGUGUAGCGGUGAAAUGCGCAGAUAUCGGGAGGAACACCGGUGGCGAAGGCGGCGACCUGGGUAGAUACUGACGCUGAGGUGCGAAAGCGUGGGGAGCAAACAGG